GAUUUCUGGUAGGGCGCAUUUGGCCCGCCUCGGUUACGAGGUUGAGUGCCGUUUUGCGCCCGCCAUCCUUCUAGAGUACGACUCUCCCUUCACUGGGUUGGGCCGGAAUCUAGAUCAUUUACUUUGAAAAAAUUAGAGUGUUUAAAGCAGGCUUACGCUAUGAAUACAUUAGCAUGGAAUAAUAAUUUAGGACUUUGGUCUUAUUUUGUUGGUUUCUAGGACUAAAGUAAUGAUUGAUAGGGAUAGUUGGGGGUGCUAGUAUUCAGCGGCCAGAGGUGAAAUUCUUGGAUUCGCUGAAGACUAACUUAUGCGAAAGCAUU
RNAcentral lists this ribosomal RNA (320 nucleotides) under Cercomonas sp. RNAcentral describes it as "SSU rRNA". The stretch from base 103 to 320 matches the Rfam family "Eukaryotic small subunit ribosomal RNA", at positions 736 to 955 of the family's 1831-position model. Lineage: Eukaryota; Cercozoa; Cercomonadida; Cercomonadidae. The record is from RNAcentral. RNAcentral also lists the same sequence under 1 other name.